Molecule: long non-coding RNA, 755 nt
Organism: Daphnia magna
Lineage: Eukaryota; Metazoa; Arthropoda; Branchiopoda; Diplostraca; Daphniidae
Exons: 2
Source: RefSeq, a predicted model, not a curated record
UCUCAGUUUUCAGGGGAUAUUCUAAUCUUAUACGUUGGUUAUCCGAGAUUCGAAUACCUCUUAGCUAGAAUAGGUCUGGUAGAUGGUCUUACCUAUUCUAAAUCUUCGACUAUCUAUAAGACAAUCCUUAUUCGAAAUAGAAUACCCUUCGUACUUCCGGGUAUUCGAAGAUCGAGUUUGAAUAAAACGCCCCCUCCGUAUUCGAAUUCGAAUACCAGGUAUUCGAAUUUUUGCAUCAGCGUCAGUAAACGUUGCCAUCCAAGAGAUAUUUAUCAAUAAAAAUCAUUUUAAAAUACAGAAUACUGGAUAGAAAUCCCACAAAUAAUUCUUAGACACCGGGAUUUGAUUUAAUAUAACAGAUUUAGCAAUAUUGAAACAAUAAAUAUUUUUUGUCAAAUCUAAUUUGAAAUAUGGCAAACAUCCAGCAUGCAAAAAAGUUAAUGACGGUCGUCAGUGCAGACAAUUUUGACAGUUAUGUGAUUGAGGGCUUUAAUGGAAUCUAAAACUUGUAUCUCAACUUUAUCUGCAGAAGACCUGCGGUUGCAUCUCCUGUCGACUAACAAACUGCCGGCUGGAAUUCCAGAAAAAUUGCUAGUUAUAGUUAAAGGCAAUUAUUCUCAACUGACAAGUCACUUGAAACUUUUUCAUGGCUUCCUUAAAACAACAGGUCAUAGUAACAGAACUUUGUAUUGUGGGAACGCUGACUGCAAGGCUGGCUUCAACAGUUUUGCUAAAUAUAGAGACCACGUUAUCAA